GCGGAUGUAGUUUAUCGGUAGAAUGGAAGCUUCCCAAGCUUCAGAGGCGGGUUCGACUCCCGUCAUCCGCUCCA
This 74-nucleotide transfer RNA is filed under the name Gardnerella vaginalis. Its description in RNAcentral is "tRNA-Gly". It matches the Rfam family "tRNA". Rfam says of the family: Transfer RNA (tRNA) molecules are approximately 80 nucleotides in length. Their secondary structure includes four short double-helical elements and three loops (D, anti-codon, and T loops). Further hydrogen bonds mediate the characteristic L-shaped molecular structure. tRNAs have two regions of fundamental functional importance: the anti-codon, which is responsible for specific mRNA codon recognition, and the 3' end, to which the tRNAs corresponding amino acid is attached (by aminoacyl-tRNA synthetases). tRNAs cope with the degeneracy of the genetic code in two manners: having more than one tRNA (with a specific anti-codon) for a particular amino acid; and 'wobble' base-pairing, i.e. permitting non-standard base-pairing at the 3rd anti-codon position. The record is from RNAcentral. RNAcentral also lists the same sequence under 3 other names. Lineage: Bacteria; Bacillati; Actinomycetota; Actinomycetes; Bifidobacteriales; Bifidobacteriaceae.